UAUGACCACAUCAUAUUGAAACACCAGAUCCGAUAUGAUCACCAAAGUUGAACAACAUCAAGCCCAGUCAGUACCUAGAUGGGUGACCACUUGGGAAUACCAGGUGCUGUAAG
This is a non-coding RNA of Acanthosepion pharaonis, 113 nucleotides long. NCBI's taxonomy places the organism in Eukaryota, Metazoa, Mollusca, Cephalopoda, Sepiida, Sepiidae. The record is from the annotation of a GenBank genome assembly.